Molecule: ribosomal RNA, 460 nt
Filed under: uncultured bacterium
Lineage: Bacteria
Description: partial 16S ribosomal RNA
Rfam family: Bacterial small subunit ribosomal RNA
Source: RNAcentral
CCUACGGGUGGCAGCAGUGAGGAAUAUUGGUCAAUGGGCGCGAGCCUGAACCAUCCAAGUCGCGUGAGGGAAGACGGUCCUAUGGAUUGUAAACCUCUUUUGUCGGGGAGCAAAAGACGCCACGCGUGGCGUUCCGAGAGUACCCGAAGAAAAAGCAUCGGCUAACUCCGUGCCAGCAGCCGCGGUAAUACGGAGGAUGCGAGCGUUAUCCGGAUUUACUGGGGGUAAAGGGCGUGUAGGCGGAGCUGCAAGUCAGAAGUGAAAUCUCCGGGCUCAACCCGGGAACUGCUUUUGAAACUGUAGACCUUGAGUAUCGGAGAGGCAGGCGGAAUUCCUAGUGGAGCAGUGAAAUGCGUAGAUAUUAGGAGGAACACCAGUGGCGAAGGCGGCCUGCUGGACGACAACUGACGCUGAGGCGCGAAAGCGUGGGGAGCAAACAGGAUUAGAUACCCCGGUAGUC